CCCAUGUGUGCCGGGGAGCGGCCCCCGGGGACCGCGGUUGUGCUGCUUCUACGCGCAUAAGCAGGGAGACUUCCCUUUCGACACGUCCGCUUCCCCCCCGCGCGAGUGAGACACCCGCAGCCCGGCCGUUACAGGCGCGGUCAGGGUGAUUACCUGCGGCUGUCGUCUGCUCUGCCUUGCGUAGCACGAGACUCUGCUGCUUUGAAAUUUAUGCGUGAUGCAGAACCACAAGACAGAACAAGGAUGAGACAGCAAGCUACAAGUUUGGAACCCUUGCAGAAGUCCUGGUGGGGGUGA
RNAcentral lists this long non-coding RNA (297 nucleotides) under Dromaius novaehollandiae (emu). Its description in RNAcentral is "lncRNA (ENSDNVG00000001923.1)". Lineage: Eukaryota; Metazoa; Chordata; Aves; Casuariiformes; Dromaiidae. The record is from RNAcentral.